RNAcentral lists this long non-coding RNA (908 nucleotides) under Homo sapiens (human). RNAcentral's name for it is "non-protein coding lnc-MPZL3-3:1". Lineage: Eukaryota; Metazoa; Chordata; Mammalia; Primates; Hominidae. The record is from RNAcentral.
AGAGGGCGGGAGAGAGGAAAGGAAGGAGGGCAUUGGGAGCUGAGGCCCCACCUUUCAUUUCAGAAAAGUGCACAGGCAGAGCGGGCUGAGUCACAGGCACAGGUGAGGAACUCAACUCAAACUCCUCUCUCUGGGAAAACGCGGUGCUUGCUCCUCCCGGAGUGGCCUUGGCAGGGUGUUGGAGCCCUCGGUCUGCCCCGUCCGGUCUCUGGGGCCAAGGCUGGGUUUCCCUCAUGUAUGGCAAGAGCUCUACUCGUGCGGUGCUUCUUCUCCUUGGCAUACAGCUCACAGCUCUUUGGCCUAUAGCAGCUGUGGAAAUUUAUACCUCCCGGGUGCUGGAGGCUGUUAAUGGGACAGAUGCUCGGUUAAAAUGCACUUUCUCCAGCUUUGCCCCUGUGGGUGAUGCUCUAACAGUGACCUGGAAUUUUCGUCCUCUAGACGGGGGACCUGAGCAGUUUGUAAGUAGAUUAUCAUCAUUUUCCAGGGUACUCUUGUUUAGGGAAAUAAUAAGCCAGUCCAUUUCUCCUUUCCCUUCCAGUAUUUUUCUUAGCAGCAAGCACAAGGUUAAGCUCGGAAACAAUUCUUGGGACAGAGACUGAGAGGCCGUUGAAGGGGAAAGCAAGUGACAGAGCUGCAGACAGGACAGUUGGGUUUGCUGGUGUUUCACUUCCGCUCCCACCAUCUUGGCCUCCUUGCCUGGGUGCUGAGUAAGAAGACCUUUUGCCAUUUCCCCUCUCUAGGUAUUCUACUACCACAUAGAUCCCUUCCAACCCAUGAGUGGGCGGUUUAAGGACCGGGUGUCUUGGGAUGGGAAUCCUGAGCGGUACGAUGCCUCCAUCCUUCUCUGGAAACUGCAGUUCGACGACAAUGGGACAUACACCUGCCAGGUGAAGAACCCACCUGAUGUU